Molecule: long non-coding RNA, 1147 nt
Filed under: Musa acuminata (dwarf banana)
Lineage: Eukaryota; Viridiplantae; Streptophyta; Magnoliopsida; Zingiberales; Musaceae
Description: long non-coding RNA (MACU_LNC002884)
Source: RNAcentral
UCCCAUAAUCUCUCUCUUGGUAGAUACUUUAAUCAAUCAAGUGGAACUCAAGUGAGAUUAAAAAUAAGAAAGAGUAGCAGAGGCAGAAUCAGAAUCAAAACCAAAAGUUGAACACAGGUUGCAUCAGGUCACACUGAACUCAGAGCAGAAUGAUGAAACAAAUCACUGCAAAGACAAAAGUAAGAAGUUAGAACUCGCCAUGAACUCGAGAGCACUGAAGCAAAGAGCAAUAAGACAGGAAAUAGGAUCUUUUUCAUGUCCAACAACGGGCAGAGUGAAACCAAUGCAAAGACAUAGCAUUUGAAGAUCUUUCUUGUAUUAUCUCAAGCAUUCAAGUCACUGAUAUCAAUGAAAUCAAUCUCUAAUGUAAUAAAAUGUGAGUCCCAAUACAAUGACCACUGUACUUCAAGUUUGGAACGUAUCCUCAAUUGGACUUAAAAGAGUCAUUUUCUCAUGCUCAUAUGUCAACUCUUGCAUUGAAAUGACAAUGAAAUGCUUGUCUACAUAUUGUUUGAUCCAAGAAUUUAAAGGAAGCAUGAGUCUCAUUUAUAUAUCUUGAACAAUAGAAAAAAGAAAGAAAUGUUUCGUAUUUGUGUUGCCUAAACCACAAACCCAGCAAGAACUUGUCCAGCUUAUUCAACCAUAACAAUAUUCACAAGUUAUAUCUUGCUUGAAUUCAUAUGUAGACCAAACAAGGGCUCAAUUCAAAUACGAAUAGAUGCUACACAAAUGCGAGAAACAUUUUAUCAUGUUAAGCCUUAACAUUCAAACUUAACCACUACAGAGCUUUGUUCUUUCAUCAACCAAAUGAAUUUAGUUUGGUACAUGGAUCAAAUGAACCACAGUUGGAUUCAGUAACAUCAAUGAUAAAUCCAACUGACAAUUCAGAUCGAGCAGUUGGAAUGAUUCCAAGCGAUUGCAAUAUAUCCUCACUAGUUUUUGAAGAUUUCCAACCUCUAUCUUACUAUUUCAAAAAGAAGGAAGAAUAACACUAUCAAUACCCCUUCAUGCAUUUUGAUCAGUCAAACCACCUAGGAAGACUCCAAAUUCUAGUUGGAAGAGAAAAGAGAAACAAAUCAAGCUCAAAUUAAAAGGAAAAAGAUGACAAUCACCUUUAAGUAAUUAUCAGCAAUUCCAUGAAGGUGCA